Molecule: unclassified non-coding RNA, 332 nt
Filed under: soil metagenome
Description: partial contains 5.8S ribosomal RNA, internal transcribed spacer 2, and large subunit ribosomal RNA
Rfam family: 5.8S ribosomal RNA (bases 1-120)
Source: RNAcentral
GAUGAAGAACGCAGCGAAAUGCGAUAAGUAAUGUGAAUUGCAGAAUUCAGUGAAUCAUCGAAUCUUUGAACGCACAUUGCGCCCGCCAGUAUUCUGGCGGGCAUGCCUGUCCGAGCGUCAUUUCAACCAUCAAGCCCCGGGCUUGUGUUGGGGACCUGCGUCCGACGCAGGCCCUGAAAACCAGUGGCGGGCUCGCUGUCCACACCGAGCGUAGUAACUAACCUCGCUAUGGAGUGGCGCGGGCGCCUGCCGUAAAACCCCCAAUUUCACAAGGUUGACCUCGGAUCAGGUAGGAAUACCCGCUGAACUUAAGCAUACCAAUAAGCGGAGGA